GGGCCCGCACAAGCGGUGGAGUAUGUGGUUUAAUUCGAUGCAACGCGAAGAACCUUACCAGGGUUUGACAUCCUGCGAAUCUUUUGGAAACAGGAGAGUGCCUUCGGGAACGCAGUGACAGGUGGUGCAUGGCUGUCGUCAGCUCGUGUCGUGAGAUGUUGGGUUAAGUCCCGCAACGAGCGCAACCCACGUCUUUAGUUGCCAGCAUUAGUUGGGCACUCUGAAAGAACUGCCAGUGAUAAGCUGGAGGAAGGUGGGGAUGACGUCAAGUCCUCAUGGCCCUUACGUGUUGGGCUACACACGUGCUACAAUGGUAUCUACAACAGGAAGCAAGACUGCGAAGUUAAGCAAAUCCCUAAAAGAUACUC
RNAcentral lists this ribosomal RNA (368 nucleotides) under uncultured bacterium. RNAcentral's name for it is "bacterial SSU rRNA". It matches the Rfam family "Bacterial small subunit ribosomal RNA", at positions 917 to 1288 of the family's 1533-position model. The record is from RNAcentral.